RNAcentral lists this ribosomal RNA (471 nucleotides) under uncultured bacterium. RNAcentral's name for it is "partial 16S ribosomal RNA". It matches the Rfam family "Bacterial small subunit ribosomal RNA", at positions 28 to 507 of the family's 1533-position model. The record is from RNAcentral.
GAUGAACGCUAGCGGCAGGCUUAAUACAUGCAAGUCGAGGGGCAGCAUGAAGUAGCAAUACUUUGAUGGCGACCGGCAAACGGGUGCGGAACACGUACACAACCUUCCUUUAAGUGGGGAAUAGCCCAGAGAAAUUUGGAUUAAUACCCCGUAACACAACGAAGUGGCAUCACUUUGUUGUUAUAGUUUCGGCGCUUAAUGAUGGGUUUGCGUAUGAUUAGCUAGUUGGCGGGGUAGCGGCUCACCACGGCUACGACGGGUAGCCGAUGUGAGAGGAUGACCGGCCACAUUGGGACUGAGAUACGGCCCAGACUCCUACGGGAGGCAGCAGUGGGGAAUAUUGCACAAUGGGCGGAAGCCUGAUGCAGCAACGCCGCGUUCGGGAUGACGGCCUUCGGGUUGUAAACCGCAUUCGCCUGUGACGAAGCGUGAGUGACGGUAAUGGGUAAAGAAGCACCGGCUAACUACGUG